RNAcentral lists this long non-coding RNA (3136 nucleotides) under Homo sapiens (human). Its description in RNAcentral is "HSALNT0202472". The record is from RNAcentral. Lineage: Eukaryota; Metazoa; Chordata; Mammalia; Primates; Hominidae.
AAAGAAAGAAAAAAAGGAUUUGAAGCAGAAUUUCUCACUGGAUAGGCAACUGGGUUCCAGAAAGAGCAGAAUUGGAAGAGUGAAAUAUACAAAGAUCUCAAGUCCACUGAGCCUUUUUAUUGAGGUGUAUUCUAUUAUAUUUAAUUAUUAUUUGUCUUUUUUUGCGUCCAUUUUUUUAAACAGGGGUUGGGGUAGGAAAGGCAGUCUCAAUGUAAUGGUGACUAUAUAAGUGAAAGAGGAAAAACAAAGUUUUAUGUUUUUAAUGAAAUAAAGAAUUUAGACAUUUAUAAUUUUGAUGGUACUCCACAUUAGUGAUUACUCAAAAAUCUAUAUUUAUUUGCUUAUAAUAUCAUAUAGUUGACUUAACAUUAUUGAGUCUGGGUCUGAGUCGGCUAAAUCUGCCUCAAAUGAAUUCAUUUGUUUCUACAUUUUGGGGAUAUGUGUGUAUGGCAGAGUGUGUAUUAGACUGAGUUCAGCAGGUCAGGAAUUUGCUUUAGUCUUUACUGAGAAGACAUUAGUAAUUUUACAUUUUCCUAUGGAAAAAUUUUAUGUCAUACAAAAUUUCUCUAUACAAAUAUAUAUCUUAAAAUUUCACCAAAAUAAUUAUAAUACAUCAAAUAAAGCAUUAAUAUUUUGUGCAAUUCAGAAUAACUUACUCAGGACUUAAUUUGGAGAAUUUAGCAAUUUUCCAAAAAUUUAGUUUAAAAAGUUAUUUGUUCAAGUACAAAGUAAGUUACUAUUUAUUAUUGAGAAUAUGAACAUACACCAAGACAAAGAGGAUUUUGAUGUGGGAUAGUAAACGUGCAAAUUAUUUCAGGCUACAAUUACCUUCUUGUAAUGGGAGCAUAUAUAAAUUAUCUUGUUCUGCAGGGAAAUUAAAGACUUGCAGAUAAAAUACCUUCAGGUACGUUAAAACAGAUACACUUUUUACAGGUUUGUUUAUCAAGUAGAUACUUUCCAAAGUGAAAUACAUAAUUUGAUUUAUGAACACACAAAAACUGUAUUUCUUAGAAAAAGUAGAAUUAUGUAUUCCUGAUGUCUGCACAACAGCAGAAAGCUCAGCCCUGGUUGUGCUGGUAUUUAUACUCUUGCAUGAAAAAUAUGCACAAGGAGCAAAGAUAAGCAAUUUUCAUAAGAAAAUGUCAAUGCAACUCCUUGUUAGUAUUGAUUUUAAAAGACUGUGACAGUAUCUUGAUUUCAUAUCUCUUAGCACUAUAAAAAAUAAAAUCAAAUGGAGACUACAUCAUCUGUUGGAAGAGAAGUGGCAUGAGACCCGACAGAAGAAAUCUGCUAUCAACUAUUCCAUUGACCUAUUCCAGAAGCUGAAGUGAUAUUUAAUCCCUAUGACUUGAAGCACAUGUCCAAAAUAAGUAACAGACACAGAUGUUCACCAUCUUACCAGACUUUUCAUUCUAUAUCUCUUGUGAAGGGAAGGCAUCACAGUGUCUUUAAAUCCAUGCCAUCACAUGGAUCCACACUGAAAAGAAUCCACAAAGUAUUUAGUCACCUUUGAUUCUAUAAUAUAAUUUGUCUUGAGGUAGUGCUUGUAAAUGGAGCUAAGAAUUGACAUUUGUCUAUUUUAUAAGUACUUUUUCUGCUAGCUGUGAUGAUAAAUACAUCAUUAUCAGUAAUAUUUAUGAAGUGUCCUGUCAUACUAACAGAAAGUUGCACAUACUAAAAUAUAUGUCUGAAUAUUAAAAGACUAUAACUCCUGCUGACAGCCACUAAUGUGCAUUAAUCUUGACAAUGCUACGUUACCUGAACUCUGUGCUCUUGGAAAACAGCAAAGUUAAGAAAUUCCCCUAGACUGGUGUUCGAAGAAAAAUGGCUUACAUCAAUGAACCAUCCUUCCCAUAGGACUUUCAAAAAACUCCCGUUUACCUAUGACAAGGCUAGCCACAGACCAUCCAAAUUCCUAUCCUUUGCCUCAAAGUGAUUAGCUGAACUGUUUGUACUCACUGACCAAUGUGGACCCAAUACCUGCAAAUUUGACUUGACUAAAAUAGCUAAAGCUUUUUUCCUUUCCCCAGGCUCCUUUAAUAUUGACCAGCCCUCAGUCUGAGUCAGCAGUGGGAUAAAGAACUAUCUCCUCUUAAUAGUCCCUCCAGGCCGGGCGCGGUGGCUCACCCCUGUAAUCCCAGCACUUUGGGAGGCCGAGGCAGGUGGAUCACGAGGUGAGGAGUUCGAGACGAUCCUGGCUAACACAGUGAAACCCCGUCUCUACUAAAAGAUACAAAAAAAAUAAAAAAAUAUAAAAAUAUAAAAAAUUAGCUGGGCGUGGUGACGGGCGCCUGUAAUCGCAGCUAGUAGGAAGGCUGAGACAGGAGAAUAGCAUGAACCUGGGAGGUGGAGCUUGCAGUGAGCCGAGAUCAGGCCACUGCACUCCAGCCUGGACGACAGAGCAAGACGCCAUCUCAAAAAACAAACAAACAAACAAACAAAAAACAAGUCACUCACUCCAGAGAACAGGAUGGCCUCAGAAAACAUAUUUCCUGCUUAACAGUCCAAACACACCAUCAGCUCAUCCCAUUUUCUCAUAUCGGGUUCUUACUAGCUUUCUUUAUUCCUCCCUAGAAUAGAAAUUUUAUUUUGGUUGACCUUUGAAACUCUUAUAGAUCUUAUGGUCAGAAGACUCUCCCUACUGCAACAAUCUCCCUCUCUUAUUGCAGUGAUUCUUUUGAAUAAAGUCUUUCCCUACCUAAGUCCAGAUUGGUUUUUAUUUGAUAAUAUUUUUUUCUUAGAAUAUCCUAAUUGACAUUAUUUUGAAUUGAACAUAUAUUGAAGGUGAAAUUCUCAGAAUCAUUUUGUCAGUCUAGUUUCAUAUCAACGUUUAAUAAGAAUUUUUCUUUUGUUGUAUUUAUUUAAAGAUAUCGAAUUACUUAGAUAUUUGCAAUUAUGUAAUAAAUUUACCAUUUGUGAGAGCUUUAAAACAAAAAAUAUUUCUUUAUGUGAAAAAUUCCAUAAGAGGUUUUGAAUUUACCUAGUCAGAAUAAAUUUAUAUAGACACAAUUAUUACUAAAUAAUUCUAUCAUUUGGUGCUAUCUUCUAUGUAAUAGAAAAGCAAGAAUCAAAAGCAGAAUAAAUAAUAAUGAAUAUGUAGUUAUCAUUUUUCUUGACAUAUACAUGUAAUCUACCA